Molecule: ribosomal RNA, 1346 nt
Filed under: uncultured bacterium
Lineage: Bacteria
Description: partial 16S ribosomal RNA
Rfam family: Bacterial small subunit ribosomal RNA
Source: RNAcentral
GACGAACGCUGGCGGCGUGCUUAACACAUGCAAGUCGAACGGAAAGGCCCUGCUUUUGUGGGGUGCUCGAGUGGCGAACGGGUGAGUAACACGUGAGUAACCUGCCCUUGACUUUGGGAUAACUUCAGGAAACUGGGGCUAAUACCGGAUAGGAGCUCCUGCUGCAUGGUGGGGGUUGGAAAGUUUCGGCGGUUGGGGAUGGACUCGCGGCUUAUCAGCUUGUUGGUGGGGUAGUGGCUUACCAAGGCUUUGACGGGUAGCCGGCCUGAGAGGGUGACCGGCCACAUUGGGACUGAGAUACGGCCCAGACUCCUACGGGAGGCAGCAGUGGGGAAUAUUGCACAAUGGGCGGAAGCCUGAUGCAGCAACGCCGCGUGCGGGAUGACGGCCUUCGGGUUGUAAACCGCUUUCGCCUGUGACGAAGCGUGAGUGACGGUAAUGGGUAAAGAAGCACCGGCUAACUACGUGCCAGCAGCCGCGGUGAUACGUAGGGUGCGAGCGUUGUCCGGAUUUAUUGGGCGUAAAGGGCUCGUAGGUGGUUGAUCGCGUCGGAAGUGUAAUCUUGGGGCUUAACCCUGAGCGUGCUUUCGAUACGGGUUGACUUGAGGAAGGUAGGGGAGAAUGGAAUUCCUGGUGGAGCGGUGGAAUGCGCAGAUAUCAGGAGGAACACCAGUGGCGAAGGCGGUUCUCUGGGCCUUUCCUGACGCUGAGGAGCGAAAGCGUGGGGAGCGAACAGGCUUAGAUACCCUGGUAGUCCACGCUGUAAACGGUGGGUACUAGGUGUGGGGUCCAUUCCACGGGUUCCGUGCCGUAGCUAACGCUUUAAGUACCCCGCCUGGGGAGUACGGCCGCAAGGCUAAAACUCAAAGGAAUUGACGGGGCCCCGCACAAGCGGCGGAGCAUGCGGAUUAAUUCGAUGCAACGCGUAGAACCUUACCUGGGUUUGACAUGGAUCGGGAGUGCUCAGAGAUGGGUGUGCCUCUUUUGGGGUCGGUUCACAGGUGGUGCAUGGCUGUCGUCAGCUCGUGUCGUGAGAUGUUGGGUUAAGUCCCGCAACGAGCGCAACCCUUGUUCACUGUUGCCAGCACGUUAUGGUGGGGACUCAGUGGAGACCGCCGGGGUCAACUCGGAGGAAGGUGGGGAUGACGUCAAGUCAUCAUGCCCCUCAUGUCCAGGGCUUCACGCAUGCUACAAUGGCUGGUACAGAGAGUGGCGAGCCUGUGAGGGUGAGCGAAUCUCGGAAAGCCGGUCUCAGUUCGGAUUGGGGUCUGCAACUCGACCUCAUGAAGUCGGAGUCGCUAGUAAUCGCAGAUCAGCAACGCUGCGGUGAAUACGUUCCCGGGGCU